Molecule: ribosomal RNA, 490 nt
Filed under: uncultured bacterium
Lineage: Bacteria
Description: partial 16S ribosomal RNA
Rfam family: Bacterial small subunit ribosomal RNA
Source: RNAcentral
AUUGAACGCUGGCGGCAGGCCUAACACAUGCAAGUCGAACGGUAACAGGGAUCAGCUUGCUGAUUCGCUGACGAGUGGCGGACGGGUGGGUAAUGUCUGGGAAACUGCCUGAUGGAGGGGGAUAACUACUGGAAACGGUAGCUAAUACCGCAUAACGUCGCAAGACCAAAGAGGGGGACCUUCGGGCCUCUUGCCAUCGGAUGUGCCCAGAUGGGAUUAGCUAGUAGGUGGGGUAACGGCUCACCUAGGCGACGAUCCCUAGCUGGUCUGAGAGGAUGACCAGCCACACUGGAACUGAGACACGGUCCAGACUCCUACGGGAGGCAGCAGUGUGGUAUAUUGCACAAUGGGCGCAAGCCUGAUGCAGCCAUGGCGCGUGUAUGAAGAAGGCCUUCGGGUUGUAAAGUACUUUCAGCGGGGAGGAAGGGAGUAAAGUUAAUACCUUUGCUCAUUGACGUUACCCGCAGAAGAAGCACCGGCUAACUCCGUG